RNAcentral lists this long non-coding RNA (982 nucleotides) under Sorghum bicolor (sorghum). RNAcentral's name for it is "long non-coding RNA (SBIC_LNC012289)". The record is from RNAcentral. Lineage: Eukaryota; Viridiplantae; Streptophyta; Magnoliopsida; Poales; Poaceae.
UUUGACGUAAUUUCUCUUGAUGUAGCUAGCAGGUGGCAGAGGUGUAGUUGAAAGUCACCAGCAUUCUGACAGCGAUUAGAAUGUCCUCCGUCUGCUAGUCUUCUUAAAUUCUGUGGAGCUCAAAUAGACAACAAAGCUUGUGGAACUGAUUAAGUGUUAGCAUAAAUAUAUAGCCUUCAUCAUCUUGAGACUCCUUAAUAAUUAUUACUCCCUGUUUUUAUAUUUUUAUUUUAUAAAGCAGAAAAAUAUUUAUUUUAUUUUUAUGCCACCACAGUGAAUGUCCUUAUGGGUUUUAUGCCACUCGUCUACUCACACGGGGCUUACUGUUUUUCACAUUUUUAUUUUCUUUUUAAGACAGUAUAAACAUGAUUAACUAAGUAAACUAUUUAAAAUAUUUGGAAGGGAAAGGGUAACUACCAAGUUUACCUCUUGGCAAGGCGUUCGGUGUUUUUAAGUCCUCCGAACGGGACUCUCCAAUUUCUUAAUCGUCCUGAGGUUCGUUGGGUGGCGUAGUCGGUACUUCCGGCAGUGCCUCCUCUUCUUGUAUAGUUAUCUUCAUUUUCCAUACCUGACUCGGUGCUUCAAUCUCCUCUGGAUAAUUCGGUUUAAACUCAACGUCUUCUGAUCUUACAACUUCUCCUUCAUAGUCUGCCCAUCCAUCCUUGAUGAUCUGCCUCCUCUGGUUGCGGUUGCGUCUCUUUCUGACCUACUUAGAUUCUUCAACGAUAUAGUCAGGGUCAGUAAAAUAACGGCGUACCUUCUCUGAGGGGAAGUGCAUAUGGACUUCUCCGGUUCCAAUGUAGAUAAUAGCUUUAACGGUGCUGAGGAACGGUCUUCCAAGGAUGAUGGGUGGAUCAUACUCAUCUUCUCCCAUGUCAACAACUUGAAAGUCUGUGUAGACAAAAUGAUCGUCUAUUUUGACUGGGACAUUAGAUACUGUUCCUUGAACUUCUCGAAAUGUCUGAUCUGCCAUCUGGAGCUG